RNAcentral lists this ribosomal RNA (253 nucleotides) under uncultured bacterium. RNAcentral describes it as "partial 16S ribosomal RNA". It matches the Rfam family "Bacterial small subunit ribosomal RNA", at positions 524 to 776 of the family's 1533-position model. The record is from RNAcentral.
UACGUAGGGUGCAAGCGUUAAUCGGAAUUACUGGGCGUAAAGCGUGCGCAGGCGGCUUUGCAAGCCGGAUGUGAAAUCCCCGGGCUUAACCUGGGAAUGGCAUUUGGGACUGCAAGGCUGGAGUGCGGCAGAGGAGACUGGAAUUCCUGGUGUAGCAGUGAAAUGCGUAGAUAUCAGGAGGAACACCGGUGGCGAAGGCGGGUCUCUGGGCAGUAACUGACGCUGAGGAGCGAAAGCGUGGGGAGCGAACAGG